UGGCAGGUCCAUACCGCGAUAAAAACAUCUGAUCCCGUCCGAUCUCGGAAUUUAAGCAUCGUCGGGCCGGGAUAAUACUUGGAUGGGGGACCGCCUGGGAACGCCCGGUGGUCUGUUUU
Molecule: ribosomal RNA, 119 nt
Filed under: Clytia hemisphaerica
Lineage: Eukaryota; Metazoa; Cnidaria; Hydrozoa; Leptothecata; Clytiidae
Source: RNAcentral